CAGAAACAGUUGUGGACUUAUGAUCAGAAAAAGGAGCAUUAUCAGCGGACUGUUAAACAGAGUUCUGACGACAGGAGGUGGCGAGAGAGAAAAAAACAAAGGGUUGUAUUGAGGCGAGCGGGACAAUCUUGGGCUCCCAUACAUUACCAGGUCUAUGCUACGGGGAAAUGUGUCCGGUUCCCGCUGGUGAAAUGUGAUCUGGAUGGAGCGGCACUGCUGGCCCUGUUGGACUGUGGCGGCUGCUUAUCUCCUGUCCUGGGGCUUCCUGAUCCCACCAAGAGGAAGGCAGGCUCCAGCACUCAGGAAUAUCAUCUCGGAGCACAUGUCUCCUCCUCCUCCUCCUCUAUAUGAAAGACAUUCCAUUGUUUCCGUCGCAGAAAUCUUGUUCACAUGUAGGAUUACCUGAUAACUACACAAGGUGAUGUAAAUACUGCCUUUCCAGACGUGGCGUACUUCUGUUCGCCCACGGUGCAUUUAGUGGAAUAUUUCCUUCUUUACAUAAUACAACAUUUCUCACA
Scophthalmus maximus (turbot) is the source of this 518-nucleotide long non-coding RNA. RefSeq lists it as uncharacterized. Lineage: Eukaryota; Metazoa; Chordata; Actinopteri; Pleuronectiformes; Scophthalmidae. The transcript has 2 exons. The record is from RefSeq and is a predicted model, not a curated record.